AAAAAAGAAAGAGAGAAACCUAAAGAGAAAAGAGGGAAAAACAGAGAAGAAGAGGGAAGAGAGGAAGGAGCCGAGCCGGCGCUAUUGGGUUCUCCGCCGCUGCUGGGUUCUCCGCCGCCGUCGCGUUGCCGUGCCGUCCGAAAGCCAGAACCGCAAGAGAAAGAACCGCGAAGAGAGAGGGAGAUCGCAUCAGCUCACCGCGAAGCCAGUGCAGUCGUCGUCCUCAUCGCGGGUCUUCACUCUUCACCAUCGCGUCUUGCCACCGCCGCCACCACUAAGCUUGCCGUCGUCGCCACUGAAGCUGAAGAGAGAGAGAGAGAGAGAAAGAGAGAGAGAGAGAGAGAGAGAGAGAGAGAGAGUUCGCGAAGAGAGGGAGUGCGCGCGCUCACGAAGGAGAAGAACGACGAAGAGUGAAGGAGAAGCAGAAGACAAUGAACGCAGGGGAGAAGGAGGAGGUCCGUUCUCGCACCGUCCUGCUCUGCUGCCGCCGCUGCCGUCGAUUGGGGUCAAGGCCGUCGCCGUCGCACCCUGUUCUCGUCGCCAUUAGGGUUUGCUGCUGCUGCCAUUGAUAGAUCUGCCGCUGGGAGGAGCCGAAUAGGGAGAGGAGGUCGCCAUCGCACACACCGCCACCAGUUACAACCGUCACCGAAACCAGGACAGAUUCACUGAUUCAAAGUUUGAAACAUAAAAGUGAAAUGAAAGAUGUGGGAAAUCAAAAGCUUCGCAAAAAUAUUAAGGAAGCUACAACAUUGGCAGCAGAUGAGUCUUCUAAGCAUAAAGUAAUGCUAGAAAUUUUUGAGUCCACUAUUAUUCAGUGUGAUUUGUAUUGAACAUAUGAGUCACUAUAAGUCAGCUCCACAACAAGGCCAGAAACGGGGUAGAAGUCGCCCCACAGGGUCUGGGAAGAAAUAGCAGCUGGCUUCUCUUGGUAAAUAUAUGUUUCAACUUUUAUUAUGUCUUGUGAUGAAUUGAAGUUAUUAUAAUUUAAUGUUGAAUUGUUACUGUUCUUGUUU
Long non-coding RNA from Arachis duranensis, 1013 nucleotides. RefSeq lists it as uncharacterized. The transcript is spliced from 3 exons. NCBI's taxonomy places the organism in Eukaryota, Viridiplantae, Streptophyta, Magnoliopsida, Fabales, Fabaceae. The record is from RefSeq and is a predicted model, not a curated record.